Molecule: ribosomal RNA, 496 nt
Filed under: uncultured bacterium
Lineage: Bacteria
Description: partial 16S ribosomal RNA
Rfam family: Bacterial small subunit ribosomal RNA
Source: RNAcentral
AUGAACGCUGGCGGUGUGCCUAAUACCUGCAAGUCGCGCGAACAGACGAGGAGCUUACUCCUCUGACGUUAGCGGCGGACGGGUGAGUAACACGUGGAUAACCUACCUAUAAGACUGGGAUAACUUCGGGAAACCGGAGCUAAUACCGGAUAACAUGUUGAACCGCAUGGUUCAACAGUGAAAGACGGUCUUGCUGUCACUUAUAGAUGGAUCCGCGUCGCAUUAGCUAGUUGGUAAGGUAACGGCUUACCAAGGCAACGAUGCGUAGCCGACCUGAGAGGGUGAUCGGCCACACUGGAACUGAGACACGGUCCAGACUCCUACGGGAGGCAGCAGUAGGGAAUCUUCCGCAAUGGGCGAAAGCCUGACGGAGCAACGCCGCGUGAGUGAAGAAGGUCUUCGGAUCGUAAAACUCUGUUAUUAGGGAAGAACAAAUGUGUAAGUAACUAUGCACGUCUUGACGGUACCUAAUCAGAAAGCCACGGCUAACUACGUG